Paramisgurnus dabryanus is the source of this 1313-nucleotide non-coding RNA. The record is from RefSeq and is a predicted model, not a curated record. Lineage: Eukaryota; Metazoa; Chordata; Actinopteri; Cypriniformes; Cobitidae.
UGUACGUGCAUUGUCAUCCCUAUAUAGGUGCAUAUUACUAAAGCACUCUUUAAAAAAAUAUGCACCCUUGACUUUACAUCAAGUUUUAGUUGGUCAAUGUGCAAACAAUGAGCCUGAACUCGUUUUGAUGACUGCGUCAGGGCUGAAACUAGCAAAAACCCUUGAUCGCCUCUUACACUGCAUUACACUGGGUGUAUAAAAGGGCCCCCUAUCACUCUUCAGCUUGAGAAUAAGGAGAGACACAAAUAACCAAGAAGAGGAAGACAAAACUUCUCAUUAUGUUUCAUGCAUCACAUACAAGUGUUAUAACCACCAACAGUCCAUCUGUGAACAACGCCUGUCCAUCUUGUUCAACUUGUGCAUUGACAUAGACGCUCAUUACAACACGAGGUUUGAUAUGGAGAUGUGUUUCAGAAUAUCUCUGAUGUUUCUGCUCAUGACUGCUGAUGUUGAUGGUCAGCAGGAUUGGGGGAAUUACAUCCCUUCAUAUGUUUGUGCGUUAAGAGGCUCAACAGUGAGAUUAUCUUGUACUUUAAAACAACCUCAUGAUAGCGUUAAAGCAGCCAUCUGGACCAAAUCAGCAAAUACAGGAUCAAACCUGUGCCCAGACACAAAUAACAGAGGAAGAGUUCAGUGUGUUUACAGUGACUCUACAGACACUCACAGCUUAACUUUGACACAAGUGACAGAAGCUGAUAAAAACAUCUACUACUGCAUAUUUACAACAAAAUGUGUAUACUACAGUUGUGUGGAUAAAAUAAUAGGGACUCCUGGAGUUCAGCUUGAUGUCACAGGUAAUGAAAUAAAACAGUGAAUCACAUUAACACACAGAGAACAUGAGAGAUUAUAUCAUUAAACUGUGGUCUGAUAUAAAAGAAUAAGAUGUCUUAUAAUAUUGAUCUAAUUUAUUCUGUAAUGACAUUGAUAAGAUUUCAGUGAUAAUGGACUAACAGAGAGUUUGUUGUUGUUCUGCUGUCAGACCUGCAGGUGGAGACAAAUCAGAGAGUGAAAGAGGGAGAUUCAGUGACUCUUACAUGUAAAACUACCUGCAGUCUGACUGAAGAAACACACUGUAAAAAGAAUACUGUGAAAAAUACAGUAACUUGCUGGCAGCAAUUAGCUAGUAAGUUGCUGUAUUUCAUUUCACAGUAUUCUUACUGUAAAUGUAACUGCAGUAAAAUUAAAAUUACUGUGAACUCUUUUACAGUAAUAAUGACAGUACUGUAUUUCAUAACUACUACUGUAAUAGGGAUUACUGCAUUUAUUUUGUGUACUGUAAAAUGAAGACUCUGUUUGUCACAAAAAUGCCAUUU